Molecule: long non-coding RNA, 5188 nt
Organism: Acinonyx jubatus (cheetah)
Lineage: Eukaryota; Metazoa; Chordata; Mammalia; Carnivora; Felidae
Exons: 2
Source: RefSeq, a predicted model, not a curated record
GAACCGGCGCAGGCCGGGAGCGAGCUUCCGGGAGGUGGGGGUUCUGACACCUGUUCCAGCGCUUCCUGGCCAUCAUCGGUUGUUGACAAUCUGCUUAAGGUCCCAGAGGUUUGGGUUUCUUGGCCACAACCUGGGAGUCAAGAGCGUCCCCACGUCCCAGGAGUAGGCCGUUCACACGGAGUGGGAAUACGGCUCCGGGCAGAGAGGAAGGUCUCCAUAAACCCCUCCUUCCGGGCUUCCUCUCGCUCAGGUCAGGGCAGAAAGGCUCGGGGCAGGCUCGUGGGUUCGGUCAUUCCCUCCGUGUUCAGACCUCCACACUGAACUUCCCUGGGUCAAAACAGUGUGGCAACAGACUCCCAGAGUGGGACUCCCUAAUGAGGACAACUGUCACUGAAACAUCGCGGGGCUUCCGUUUGAUUCAUAAGAAAAUUUCUUUUAUCGUUUAUUGUGAUUUGUAGUUUUAUAAGGUUUGUCACUUGGUUAGUCUACCUAACUUCAGAUCCAUAGUGGCUUUGAUGUUGUCAUUCACCAGCUUCUACAAAGGUGGGGGGGGGGGGGGCUGGGAUCCUAUGAGCAAAGGUUCAAAACACAGGUGGGCAGGGGGUUGGGGGAAGGGGAGGGUACAGAAACAUCAGUGCCCUCUCUUCCCCACACGCCUGGAAAUGUGAGUACAAGUUGCAGUUCUGGAAGGUAAUAGGGCCGAUUUAUACAGGAACCUGAGGGAGCCCCAAAGCCCCCUGGGAAAAGGAAAUAGCCACCACCUAGAGGGUUAAGAGCUUGAGACAAAAGCACGGGAGGUUUUUAGUCCAACUAAAUCACAACUCACUUUUCAACCGUCCACAAAAUGUUGUCCAUGAACUGCCAGUGUCCUCGCGGAUGAUUCCAAUCCGGGCCUUGGUAUCAUCAUAAAAUAGAACUGUCUUGAAUUUUUAAGUCCAAGGAAGAAAUCGAGGGGACAACAGUCCCGCAGCUGGAGACCCUACUGCCUCAUUAGAGAGACCGCUCCCGGGGAGGGGUGUUGGUCUCCCUGGGGUCUCAGGGCUCCUUCCGCCCCGCCUGACAGUCCAAGAGGCAGGGAAGCUGGCCAAUAUAUUCCUCAAAAGGGAGCCAUCCUGGAAUGUUCACCGCGUUUCAAAAGUAUUGCUUAUCAGUAAUCAAACCUGUCGAUGGGCUUGCCUGGUGGUCCACGUGGUCCACGCCACCGAGAGGAGCCAGGUGGCCCUGCCUCCAGGCGGGGGGCUCAGUGUUGCCUUUAGGACUGACAGUGGACUCGUAAUGCGAGUAGAGGGGGCCUGCCCGAGGGAAGGAGCCCCCCCACUGCUCGCGGAGCUCCUCUCUCCGCGGCACGGGGCACAAUAAAACCCGUUCGUUCGCGUAUAUUCAGUACAUGCUGCUCCAUCGCCGUCCUCUGAGCUUCCAGAAGUUUCCCUCCACGUCGGCACCCCCCUUCCUCCAGCCCACCUUCGUCGGCCACCCCACAUCUCCACCGAUGUAUCAGAGGCCUUCCCCACCGCACCCAGCAUGGCCAAAACCCUGCUCCGGGACGCACACGGGGCACCUUUUCAAAAGGUAAAACUCAGAAUGAGGUCUGCAGCCAAAGGGGGCCUCCGAGAGACAGUAAGCCGAUUCUUCGAGACCGCAAGCGAAACGGGUGUGACAUGAGGACGUCAAGGGGCAGGGCUUCAAGACGGCCAAGCGCGGGCAUCCUACUCCCUGGCACAAGGAGGGGAGGGAGGCUGGAACGGGGGGUUUUCUGUGUGUUCCCAGCGUGGUCCACCAGAGGGCGGCCGCGGGCUGCCGGAGGGCCGCCCACGGAGCCGACCAGACGGGGCGGGCCCUCGGGACCCUGUGUUUCUUCCCAAGUGCCCAGGGAGGCCCGCUUACAAAAUGAAGACCUGUAUUUACUUUUCUGCAUUAAAUCCCAACUUUUAAAUUUUGUUAACUAAAUCUGUGAGUAGAUUUUCCAUCAUUUGUCACAGGACAUACUCGGAUUUGUUUCUUGCUUGUCUCAAACAUUAUUUUUUAUUAGAGAGUGAGCAGGGUAGGGGCAGAGGGAGACAGAGAGAGAGAGAGAGAAUCUCAAACCAACUCUAGGCUCAGCGAGCAGCUCGAUGUGGGGCUCAGUCCCAUGACCCCAGGAUCGUGACCUGGGCCAAAAUCAGGAGUUAGACGCUCUUGGACUGAGCCACCCAGGCGCCCCAAACAUUUUUAUUAGAUUACUGUCUGUUUUAUAACAACCACUGAUUCUUCUACGCAAUUCCUCAAAGCUGCUGGUCUGAUUAAACUUAUGGAGUCACUCACCUGCUUUAUAAGAAGGAAAUACUGAAGAUUUUGGCUGCCCUAAAAUAUGUAUGUAUUUUAUGUAUGUAAACAAAUGUGAUUUUACAAUUAGCAUAUUCCUGAUACUGGCUCUUAGAAUUGGUUUCUUGAAAUAUGUAUGGCUUAUGGACAUUUAUAAAGCUUUCAUUGUAUUACUGUAUGAUUCUAUCAGAAUUUCUUAUUUAUGAAGCCAUUAGCUACAUAUGACUUAGAUUAGCAUAUAACUUUAAAAUGGUUAUUAGUAGAAAUAAAAUGUUCUCCUCAAGCUUUUUUAAUUUCUUAUGUAUUAUAUAUGAGUAUAAAAAACAAAAUAGCAGAGAAGCCCCUUUUUUUUACCAAAAUGCAUGUUUUUACUUUACUAGUAAAAUUUAAUCAGCAGAUUUCUGUGUUGGCCAGAUUUGCUAGGCUAAAUAUUAAAAGUUCCCAAGCAAAUGCAUUUUUCUCUUAUACUUUUCUGUUAUCCGAAGAAAACAUAAGGGCCUCCUAUGUUAUAAAUGUAAUUUUCGCUCAUGUUUUCAAAUAUGGUUUCGACUGAGUUGGAGGUUUGUGAGAUAGUUUGGAUUAUUACAUAAUUCACACAGGCGACAGCUAGUCCGACAGCUCACACAUUAUCAGCUGAACUCAGUUUAGGUUUCUGUCUUCCAGCUCCUAAAACAAACAAAGCCCUCCCACUGGUGAAGACAAAACUCUCACCACCUUGUCUCCCGCAUUUCAGCAGGACAGAACGGUAAAUCAAUCGGAUUCCAUGCUGGUGCAGUUCCUAACGGAUGGCUCUGUCUUCUCCACAGAUAGGGCCAAGGUCCUGGGGUAGACUAGCGCCUGAUAAGUGGCAAACACAGAGAGAAGCGGAGGAGUGUGUGACGGCCGGUGUGAGGAGGGGGUUGGUGCCAACUAUGAACCCAGCCACAAUCCCAGGAGAGACCUCCUUAAGACGCAACACUGCCAGAGAGUUCCAAGUGGGUCAAGGCUGGGCCACGGCCAGGCAGAGGGCGUUUCCUUCCCGCACCCCGGCCCCCCACAGGCGCCGUGGGCUUGCGCAUGGUAAAGGGGGUGAUCUUCAGCACCUGGGGCCUCAGGGGAGGAGGCACCAGGCAGACUAUGGGGAGGACUGUCAGAAGGUGACAUUAUGGACGGUGACCAGAAAGGAACAAGGUAAGGAUGCAAGGCUUUAGCCGACUGUCUGGUCCAGGUAAAAGAGGAAAGAGACUGCGGCGUCUGGGUGGCUCAGUCGGUUAAGCGUCCGACUUCGGCUCAGGUCAUGACCUUGCGGUCUGUGAGUUGGAGUCCUUGGUGGGGCUCUGUGCUGACAGCUCAGAGCCUGGAGCCUGCUUCGGCUUCUGUGUCUCCCUCUCUCUCUGCCCCUCCCCUCCCCUGCUGGUGCUCUGUCUCUCUCUCUCUCAAAAAUAAAUAAACAUUAAAAAAAUUUUUUUUAAAAAAGAGGAAAGAGAUUGCAGGAAACAUGCAAUGGUUUCGGACUCAGAUGCUCUGCUGUCACUCCGUACACCCAUCUCCCCGUCGUGCCAUGUCACCGAGGCCAGCAUUUACCCCUGGAUUGGGGCAGUGUUGGGUAAGUGAGACAGUAACGAACCAACGCAGAACCUUCAGCAAAGAACUGGGUCAGUCAAAUGAUUCUGAUGAUUAUGAAUCACGUGAAUGAAAGAAAAGUGGAAUAACGGAGGUCGGUCAUUUUUGUUACUACUUUUUAGAUCAACUUCGUUGCAGUCCCUUGCAUACAGUACACAGAAUUUAAAUGUUCCGCUUGAUGAGUUUUGACAAAUGUAUGUUCCCUUGUUUCCCUAACCAAGAUACAGAAUAUUUCUGUCACUCCAGAAAGUUCCCUUAUGCUCCUCUGACAUCAAUUCAGUAAGACCUAAAUAAAUGGGAGAAACUUCAAUUCUCUCCAAACUGAUAUAAUAGCUUUAAUACAAUCCCAAUAAAAAAAUGCAGCUGGCGCUUUUGGGGGGGUGGGGAGAAACUGGCAAUCUGAUUCUAAAUUCACACGGAAAUGCCAAGGGCCAGAGACAGCCAAAUCAAUCUUUAAAAAAAAAGAAGAAGAAAAGUCUAAGGACUUACUACUCUCUAAUUUUAAGAUUUCAUUAAAAAGCUGUAGUAGUCAAGACAGUAUGUCAAUAUGUACUUGUAGAAGGAUAGACAGAAAGACCAAUGGAACAGAACAGAGUACCGGGAAAUAGUUCCAAACAUCUACAGUCAAUUGAUUUUGACAAAGGGCCAAGGCUAGUCAAUAGGGGAAGAACAAUCUUUUCAACAAAUGGUUCUCAAACCACUAGAUAUCCCUGAAGGGGAGAAAAACUCUUAACUCUUACACUUCAAAUGGAUCACAGACUUAAUGUAAAAAUAAAAAUUACAUAACUUCUAAAAGAAAACAUAGAAGAAAAUCUUCAAUACUUCAGGAUAGGCAAAGAUUUCUUAAAAAUACAAAAGAAAAAAAAAAAAGGGGGCGCCUGGGUAGCUCAGUCGGUUAAGUGUCCAACUCCUGCUUUUGGCUCAGGUCACUCACGAUCUCAUGGUUUGUGAGCUCGCGUCGGGCUCCAGGGUGACAGUGCAGAGCCUGCUUGGGAUUCUCUCUCUCCCUCUCUCUCUCUCUCUCUGCCCCACCACUCACCAAAAUAAAAUAAACUUAAAAAGUACAAAAACCCUAUGAACCAUUAAUGAUAAAAUGACAGCUUUACCUCAUUAAAAGUAAAAAUCUGUGUCCUUCAAAAAACAGUUAAGACAAUGAAAAGAGAGACCACAGACUGAAAGAAAAUAUUUGUAAUACAUCUGUCUGGCAGAGGACUCGUACCCAGAAAAUAGAAAGAAACUUACCAUUCAGGAAGACAAAAUGCAAAAAAAAAAAGAAAAAGAAAAG